CCCUCCAUCCCCUGCCGUCCGAACACUGUCGUCGACCAGAUCCACAGCAGUUCCACCGCAAGGCCGUCGCGCAAAUGCUCGCUCGUCCUCUCCUCUUCCACGGCCACUUUAUCUCCACCAGCCCACCUCCACUCCACCCCUAGGUAAAAAAAUCAAAUCUUUUGCGCCGGUGAUGAAGGGGUGGAUGUGGAUGUGCUAGCGCUGGAUCUGGAAAAUGGAGGCAUGGAGCAGUGCUGGAGCAGCGUAUCUGAAGCGGUGUCGAAGCUGUAGAGCGGCAGAUCUGGAGCGACGUCUUCCUCCCUCACGGUGGCCUUCCCCUUCAUGCCACAUCAUCGUCGCCCUCAUGGUUGAGCUUGAGCUUCCAUGGGGAACUGCUUCGGCUCCGAGGAAGCCGAAGUGGAGACCAUGAAGAAGGCGCCGGGCCACCACGUGCACGGACAAGGACGCCCUCAAGCGAUUGGAAGGUGCAAUCCACCUCCUAUGGCAUCGUGGGGCACGUUGGGAGGUCCUCGCGCUCGUCUAGCAGCAUGAAUACCAGAGGCACCAGCUCCAGCACAUCGGCGGGCGGUGGCGUUCACAAGGCGACAACAUACCUAGAGCCAUAUGUCACGAUCCUAGAGGCGCCUAAUCUGCUUCCUGCCCUGACCACGGUAUGCUGCUGGUGAUGUGCUGUUGGUGCUGGUUUGUUGCUUGCUGCUGGUGGUGGUAAGCUGCCACUGCUAGUUAUCUGCCACUUCUGAUGGUGAGCCGUUGCUGCUGGAGAGCUGGUGGUGAUGAGCUAUUGCUGCUGGAGAGCCUAUCAACAAAGACUAGCAUAUGUAUUCUAAUAGUAGGCAGUAGUAGACAUAUCUCGGUUGCGGUGUCGUGUAAAGAUUGUAAAUUGUGAAGUUAUGCAGUUUCUGAACGUGUGAAGUACGACAUAUUGUGAAGUUGUGCACCUGUGAAGUUAUGCAUUUUGUGAAGUUGUGAAUUA
Hordeum vulgare subsp. vulgare (domesticated barley) is the source of this 973-nucleotide long non-coding RNA. RefSeq lists it as uncharacterized. The transcript is spliced from 3 exons. The record is from RefSeq and is a predicted model, not a curated record. Lineage: Eukaryota; Viridiplantae; Streptophyta; Magnoliopsida; Poales; Poaceae.